RNAcentral lists this ribosomal RNA (465 nucleotides) under uncultured bacterium. Its description in RNAcentral is "partial 16S ribosomal RNA". It matches the Rfam family "Bacterial small subunit ribosomal RNA", at positions 28 to 507 of the family's 1533-position model. The record is from RNAcentral.
GACGAACGCUGGCGGCGUGCUUAACACAUGCAAGUCGAACGGAAAGGCCCUGCUUGCAGGGUACUCGAGUGGCGAACGGGUGAGUAACACGUGGGUGAUCUGCCCUGCACUUCGGGAUAAGCCUGGUAAACUGGGUCUAAUACCGGAUAGGAGCCAUUUUUAUUGUGAUGGUUGGAAAGUUUUUUCGGUGUAGGAUGAGCUCGCGGCCUAUCAGCUUGUUGGUGGGGUAAUGGCCUACCAAGGCGGCGACGGGUAGCCGGCCUGAGAGGGUGGACGGCCACAUUGGGACUGAGAUACGGCCCAGACUCCUACGGGAGGCAGCAGUGGGGAAUAUUGCACAAUGGGCGCAAGCCUGAUGCAGCGACGCCGCGUGGGGGAUGACGGCCUUCGGGUUGUAAACUCCUUUCGCUAGGGACGAAGCUUUUUGUGACGGUACCUAGAUAAGAAGCACCGGCUAACUACGUG